ACGAACAACCGGGCACAAGAGAUCAAAGCAGCGACGAAAUUUUGGAAGCUGCAAAAGAAGCCCAUUAAUGCAAUUUUCACAUAUAAAGAUUGGCUUUACAGUGCAAGUUCAGUUGUGGAAGGUUCAAAUUUGAAGGAAUGGAGAAGACACAGCAAACCCCAAAUGUCGCUAAAAACCGGCAAAAGAGAACGUGUUAUGGCAAUGGGAAUAGUUGAAGACUUCAUAUAUCUCAACUGCAGCUCAGCAACAAACAGCAUUCAGAUAUGGUUAAGAGGGACUCAGCAGAAAGUGGGCAGAAUUUCAGCUGGAAGCAGAAUUACCAGCCUCCUCACUGCCAAUGACAUUAUCCUAUGUGGUACCGAGACGGGUCUGAUCAAGGGUUGGAUCCCCCUAUAGCAUGAAAUACAUCAGCCAGCACGUCUGAGACAGCAAAGAAGGAUGAUGCUUCGUAUUUAUGCCUUAUUUUCAAAUACAGUUGCAUGUAAGGAGCUAUGUUGCGUCAUUGGUUGCUAAGUAUGUAAUAUGCGAUAUCAUUGUUUGUGCAUUGUAUUUUGUAUUCAACAUGUGUACCGAUAUGGUGGUUGAUUUACCCAUAAAGAGAAAGCUAAAAACCCUAGCCUCCCUUCUCUCUCUCUCUCUCUCUCUCUCUCUCUCUCUCUCUCUCUUUUCUUUACCUCCCCGCUUAUUUUCCCCUUCCCCAUCUAUUGGAUUUGGGGUUUUAAUUGUGGGGGGUCGAUUUGUGUCUAGAUCUGCUUUGGAUUUGUGGUUUUGUUGGUUGGUGAUUUAGUUGUAAGGUGACUGGCU
Non-coding RNA from Prunus avium (sweet cherry), 804 nucleotides. The record is from RefSeq and is a predicted model, not a curated record. NCBI's taxonomy places the organism in Eukaryota, Viridiplantae, Streptophyta, Magnoliopsida, Rosales, Rosaceae.